UACGAAGGGUGCAAGCGUUAAUCGGAAUUACUGGGCGUAAAGGGCUCGUAGGCGGCCAACUAAGUCGGAUGUGAAAUCCCCAGGCUUAACUUGGGAACUGCAUCCGAUACUGGAUGGCUUGAAUCCGGGAGAGGGAUGCGGAAUUCCAGGUGUAGCGGUGAAAUGCGUAGAUAUCUGGAGGAACACCGGUGGCGAAGGCGGCAUCCUGGACCGGCAUUGACGCUGAUGAGCGAAAGCCAGGGGAGCAAACGGG
RNAcentral lists this ribosomal RNA (253 nucleotides) under uncultured bacterium. RNAcentral's name for it is "partial 16S ribosomal RNA". It matches the Rfam family "Bacterial small subunit ribosomal RNA", at positions 524 to 776 of the family's 1533-position model. The record is from RNAcentral.